GGAAUAGGGUGCCAUUUGGGAUGCCAGCUGACACAGAUAAAAUCAAAAGAGAAACACAUGCAUAUCAUUUGAGGAGCUCACAGAAGCCUGAACACUUAAGACAAGCAGCAACCAUUUUGGGAAUAACAAUACAACCAUGGAACUUUGGCUGUUACUCAUAAUGUUUUCAGAAAUAUGCAGCCUUUGCUCUGCAACAAGCACAACCUUAGAUCCUAAUAUGACAACAACAACCGAGGCUCCUACUACGACAACCGCGGCUGCUACCACGACAACCGAGGCUGCUACCACGACGACCGCAGCUCCUACCACAACAACCGAGGCUGCUACCACGUCAAGCGCAGCUCCUACUACGGCAAACGCAGCUCCUAUUUUGACAAACGCAGCUUCUACAACCGCAACUCCUGCUACGACACCCGCAGCUCCUACAAUCACAGCUCCUACUACGACAACCGCCGCUCCUACUACGACAUCUGCCGAUCCUACUACGACAUCUGUGGCACCUACUACGACAUCGGCAGCUCCUACUACGACAUCGACAGCACCUACUACAACAA
Long non-coding RNA from Oncorhynchus keta (chum salmon), 554 nucleotides. RefSeq lists it as uncharacterized. The transcript has 3 exons. NCBI's taxonomy places the organism in Eukaryota, Metazoa, Chordata, Actinopteri, Salmoniformes, Salmonidae. The record is from RefSeq and is a predicted model, not a curated record.